CUGUUUCGCUCUACAAGAAGCCGGAGUUGCCCAGUCUUGUUCGUCUCUCGAAGAAGACACAAAUUCACACACCAGACGUGGCACUGAAAACCAUCUCACGGCCUUUGAGUUCUGCAACAGAUUAUCAGAGAGAUGAGACUUCAGAGGGUUGUAGCUGUCUUGAUGCUAAUGAUCGCUGCUUUCCAAACGGUAACGGCUGAAGGAGAUGAUGGCAAUUCCAACGGGCAGGGAAAAUACAAGCUGGUGCACACUGCCAAGGUGGGCGUCGACCUACAAUUCGACGCCGGGGAACCAGCAGACAUUAACACCGAACUCAAGAUGGACAGCUAAAGGUAAUGCUUGGGAAUCAGUUUCCCGGCGAUCAGAAGUAGGGAAGACCACGCCAACAUACAUGAAAGGACAGCAGCCUGAACAGAGACGGAUCCCUAAAGACUUAAACUGUUCAUGAUUAAUUAUCAUUUGUGUUUUCCUUAUAAUUAAGUAUAAUUUGUGUUUUCCUUACAUAAUGGUUUAGAUACAUACAUGCACGCAAGCACGCAAGCACGAAUACAUACAUAAAACCUACGCAUACAUA
Molecule: long non-coding RNA, 574 nt
Organism: Penaeus vannamei (Pacific white shrimp)
Lineage: Eukaryota; Metazoa; Arthropoda; Malacostraca; Decapoda; Penaeidae
Source: RefSeq, a predicted model, not a curated record